Long non-coding RNA from Canis lupus familiaris (dog), 1025 nucleotides. RefSeq lists it as uncharacterized. The transcript is spliced from 3 exons. The record is from RefSeq and is a predicted model, not a curated record. NCBI's taxonomy places the organism in Eukaryota, Metazoa, Chordata, Mammalia, Carnivora, Canidae.
AAGAGUUGGAUGCUUAACCACCUGAGCCACCAAGGUGCCCCUGUCUCUUGUGUUACUUGUGCUAUUUCUCACUCAUGCUGUCUUAUUACCUGUCUUUGUGUGCUGGACAUCAUAAUUGAAAUACUUGAAGAAAUAAUGCUGUCUCCCUUUAUCGAGAAACAACCCCAAUUACAUGGAAUCCAGGAACAGAAAUACCUGGGGUGAAGUUCUAAACUACCUCUGCACUAGGCUCCGAUAAUGAUAAGGACACUCAAGAUCAAAGAGAUUAAGAAAGAGUCCAAGGCAAUCCAGCUGAGAGGAGGCUCAGUAAAAAUCCCAACCCAGCCUGAGUUGACUCCAUAACCCCUUUCUCCACAUCCCACACUGCCUCUCCCCAAACCAGCAAUGUUGCCAGUUUCAACAAAUCAACCAAAGUGUGACCAUUUGCUGGGCCUGCCACUGUGGCAGCUGGCUGCCGGACAAUUGAUGACCUUGCCUGGCAGGUGCUAUGAAUGUUUAACUCAGCCAGAAACUCGGUGGUCCGUCUUGGGGACAGACUCUGAUCCAGCGUGUGGCCGGCGAUGUGACUGAGGGCAGAGAAGGCCACCAGACUGGUAAGUGCCCUCCUUGCUGACUCCCGAAGGCAAACUACAGAGGCAGGCCCCUUGAAGAGCUGCCGUAACCACAAGCCAGAGGGCAGCCCCUUAUUUGUGCCCAACGUGGAAAAAUUGUUAGUCACGCACCAGUCAUUUCAGGAACACCUGCACGUUCCUGGCCUUUGAGCACAAAUUGAAGACCGACUUUGAAUUCAGACAUUGAAGUUAUUCACAUGGACUGCUCUACAAUCUACAGAAGUGAGAGGGAGAGCCAGAAGUAGAAGCUAUAGGUUAUGAUCCCCGCGUGUCUUUUGUUAGUUCCCUGAAGAAAUCAGAAGGGAGAUAGUACGUGUGGUGGGGGAGGCAGAGAUCCCAGGGGUGCACAACAAUAUCCAAUUAUUUUAUAAAGAUAAAUCGUGACAUCAAUCUUAGCUCAAAAAUACCUUCCUG